This is a long non-coding RNA of Dermacentor andersoni, 568 nucleotides long. RefSeq lists it as uncharacterized. The record is from RefSeq and is a predicted model, not a curated record. NCBI's taxonomy places the organism in Eukaryota, Metazoa, Arthropoda, Arachnida, Ixodida, Ixodidae.
ACGGCUGCGCAUGUGAGCGUUCGGCGUCCCGUUUGUAUUUAUUUCGUGUGUAGCUCACUUGCACACCCCGCGUAUCUUUCCGUUUCUGCUGCACAUUGACACGGCACUCCUGCGUCAUUGAAACCCGGCAAGUUGCAGAAGUCCGUGCACAAGAUGAAGUGAGGCACCAAGCAGCAGCGCCACUCGUCGCUAUUGGAACCGGCUCGCGGACUUCCGCUGCUUCAACCAAUCGGAGCACUCUCCUCGCGGAUUCUUUACAUCAGGACGGGAAUCAAAACAUCGAUGAUGCCCUUUCACACUCGGCGAAGUCGGCCAAUUCUGCAACAUGAGCGAGAAAAAACAGUGCCUGAGAGAAAAAAAGAAAUAAAACAGAGAGGAGAGGGAGCUUAGCACAGUCUCCAAGACACUGUGCUGCAGCCUGGCACACCAUAAUCUCGGGGGCCAAUUUCUUGCGCCAUUCUGUGCGUUCGCUUGUUCACAGGCAUGUGAAACCUCGCUGUUAACGAGCAGUGGUGUAUGGCAAAAAGUAGUCUGUUCUGCAGCAUUGAAUUUGAGUCGAAGGCGUGGC